Non-coding RNA from Pelobates cultripes (western spadefoot toad), 253 nucleotides. NCBI's taxonomy places the organism in Eukaryota, Metazoa, Chordata, Amphibia, Anura, Pelobatidae. The record is from the annotation of a GenBank genome assembly.
UGUGUGUGUGUCUGGGGGUGCUGUGUGUGUCUGGGGUGCAGUGUGUGUCUGGGGGUGCUGUGUGUGUGUGUCUGGGGGUGCUGUGUGUGUAUCUGGGGGUGCUGUGUGUGUUUGGGUGCUGUGUGUAUCUCGGGUUGCUGUGUGUGUGUCUGGAGUGCAGUGUGUGUCUGGGGGUGCUGUGUGUGUGUGUCUGGGGGUGCUGUGUGUGAGGGGGCUGUGUGUGUCUGGGGGUGCUGUUUGGGAAUUAAUUUUA